This 267-nucleotide long non-coding RNA is filed under the name Setaria viridis. RNAcentral describes it as "long non-coding RNA (SVIR_LNC010996)". The record is from RNAcentral. Lineage: Eukaryota; Viridiplantae; Streptophyta; Magnoliopsida; Poales; Poaceae.
GAUGAAGAGAGGAUUAUGACCAUGGACCUUACUGCCAUGCUAGAUGAGUAAAAGAAAUACUACAUGUGCUUGCGGGCUGAGAUCAUGAGCCGACUAUCUAUGCCUAGUACUUAGUAUUCGAUUCUUCUAAAUAGUAUUAGUAGAAAUUGUUCUGUUACUGUUCUGCAACUUGGCAUGUCUCUGUUAUGCAAAUUCAACAUGUUUUCAUGUUUCAUAUUUGAAUCAUACUGGAAGCUGUUCAUGUUUUUUUUUUCACGUGGACCUUAC